Molecule: transfer RNA, 63 nt
Filed under: Parazyginella tiani
Lineage: Eukaryota; Metazoa; Arthropoda; Insecta; Hemiptera; Cicadellidae
Description: tRNA-Ser
Source: RNAcentral
AGUUAUUUAGCUUAUAUAAAGCAUCUAUUUUGAAAAUAGAAUAAAGAUUAUUUUUAAUAACUU